This 253-nucleotide ribosomal RNA is filed under the name uncultured bacterium. RNAcentral describes it as "partial 16S ribosomal RNA". It matches the Rfam family "Bacterial small subunit ribosomal RNA", at positions 524 to 776 of the family's 1533-position model. The record is from RNAcentral.
UACGAAGGGUGCAAGCGUUACUCGGAAUUACUGGGCGUAAAGCGUGCGUAGGUGGUUGUUUAAGUCUGUUGUGAAAGCCCUGGGCUCAACCUGGGAACUGCAGUGGAAACUGGACAACUAGAGUGUGGUAGAGGGUAGCGGAAUUCCCGGUGUGGCAGUGAAAUGCGUAGAGAUCGGGAGGAACAUCCAUGGCGAAGGCAGCUACCUGGACCAACACUGACACUGAGGCACGAAAGCGUGGGGAGCAAACAGG